AGCAAGCACUUUAGCUCUGAGCCAGGCCAAGAUGCCGUUAGGACACCCUCCCAAAGCCUGCCUUUUACUCAGUGGUGGUAGAAAGUGUCACUACCAUGGCUCUCCUUGGAGAAGACAGUGGGCAAGCCUUGCUACCCGUAGGCAGGAGGUGGGGAUCUGUGUGCAGAAUACGAAAGCAGAAGGUAUUGCCAUAAAUUGUGGACUCUCAGAAUUCGAGGGGCCUGCGUGGGUCAUCCACCUUACUUCCCAAUUCAUGCAGGACUGGCCUGCACAGCAUUCCUGACAGGUAGAGAUGUUCAGCCUCUUCUUGAUUGCCUCCUGGGACGGGGAACUCACUGGGGCUGGCAGUGGCCAUCUGUCCCUUAGCCAAUGAACUCAUAUCUUAUUGCUGCUCCCAUAACUCACCACAAACCUGUUGGCUUAAAAUAAUACACAUUUAAUCCAUUACAGUUCUGGAGGCCAGAAGUCUGAAAUGGAUCUUAUUUGGCUAGAAUCAAGGUGCCAGCAGGGCUGCAUACCUCCUAGAAGCUCCAGGGGAGAAUCUGUGUCCCGGCCUUUUCCAGUUCCUAGAGGCCACCUGUAUUCUUUGGCUUGCAGCUCCUUCUUCCAUUUUCAAAACCAGCAGAGUAACAUCCUCAGAUCUCUCUGACUCUGACCUCUGCUUCUGUUGUCAAAUCCUUCUCCCUCUCCUACAGACCCUUGUGGUUACAAGGGACCCUCAGUCGAACCCUGGAAAGUCUCCCCAUCCCCAGGUCCUCAGCUUACUCACAUCUGCACAGUCCCUUUCACCACGUAAGGCCACACAGUCACAGGUUCCAGGGAUUAGGAUGUGGACAUCUCUGGGGGCUCUUAUUUUUCCUGCCAGAAUUCCUCUUUUUUUUUUUUCUGAGAUGGAGUCUCACUCUGUUGCCCAGGCUGGAGUGCAAUGGCAGGAUCUCGACUCACUGCAACCUCUGCCUCCCAGGUUCAAGCAAUUCUCCUGCCUCAGACUCCCGAGUAGCUGGGAUUAUAGGCGCCCGCCACCACACUCGGCUAAUUUUUGUAUUUUUAGUAGAGACGGGGUUUCACCAUGUUGGCCAGGCUGGUCUUGAACUCGUGAUCUCAAGUGAUCCAUCCACAGCCUCCCAAAGUACUGGGAUUAUAGACGUGAGCCACUGUGCCCGGCCCAGAAUUCCUCUUUAUACUGAAGAGAAACUUGUUUCUCAAUAACUUCCUCCCAAUGGUUAACAUUCUAGAGUCCCCCUUCCACGUGACAACCUGUCAAACAUCUAAAAGCUGCUUUAUGUUUCUCUGUUCUCUCUUCUGAUCUAGGCUAGACACCCCAAGUCUCUUCCUUGUCCGAGGGUGCUAUCAUUUGUGAAGCAUGCUUCACAUAAUCAAGUGCGUUACUUGUCAUGCUGGAUGAUGAGGGCUUGGUCCAGGGUUCAGUGAAGCAUGCGUUUCCUGUGAUUUGGACAUUCUGCUUACAUGGAUGCACCCUGACAAUACAUUCACCUUUUUUUAUUUUCUUCUUCUUCUUCUCCUUCUCCUCCUCCUUCUCCUCCCUUCUCCCUUCCUCUCUCUCUCUCUUUCUUUCUUGUUUCUUUUUUUUUUUGAGAUGAAGUCUCGCUCUGUUGCCUAGGCUGGAGUGCAGUGGCACAAUCUCAGCUCACUGCAACCUGUGCCUCCUGGGUUCAAGUGAUUCUCCUGUCUCAGCCUCCUGACUGGCUGGGAUUACAAGCACCCACCACCACGCCUGGCAAAUUUUUUUUUUUUUAAAUAGAUAUGGGGUUUCCCCAUGUUGGCCAGGCUGGUCUCGAAGUCCUGACCUCAGGUGAUCCACCCACCUCAGCCUCCCAAUGUGCUGGGAUUACAGGUGUGAGCCACUGCGCCCAGCCCACCUUUUCGUUCUGUUAAACAGUCACAGUAUACUCUUGAGCUGGUUUUUAACUUCACUACCAAAAGUUUGAGGCUUUUAAUUUAUUUUAUUUUUUAGAACUGUGGUUCAGAAGGAGAGGUACUUUUUUAGUGUGUUGUGUUGGAGCCCUUAAUUUUCUGAAUCUAAACACAGGAGUUUACACUGAUUCCAGUUAAAUGACAAGUUGGCAGUUCCCACUCUGGUAUUGCGUUCUGAUUAAAUGCUUCAAAAUUGUAUCUCAAAGUUUAUCUAACACCAUGCCACCUGUAAAGGUAGUAAGUAAAACAGUUUUAGGCAGGGCUGUGGUUUCUUCUACACAUCAUGUAUUCUGUGGUUUCCAGGGCUCCCUCCUUAAGAAUGGUCUUCCAAUUGGGAUGGGUGGAUUUGAAAGGAACUAAGGGAUCAGCUGGGAAAGAAAGCACAAGGUGCAUCUGAAGCAAACCAGGAACGUGCAGAUACUCCGUCCUAUGGGAGGAGGAAUUGUACUGCCACACAGGGUUGCACAGACGUGGGUUAACAAGGGAAGCUUCCUGGAGCGGACCUUGCCGUGACACAAGCAAGCCUGCGUGUGUCCAUGCAGCCUGGGAGCAAGGGCGUUUGAGUCAGAUGCUGUGUGCACGUUUCAUCUCCACAGUUCAUCAGGCUGUGACCUUGGUUGUCUUGGACUUUGGCUUUUCCUGUCUCCUAAGAUGGGCCAACACCAUUUGUUUCUGCAUUAUUUUGAGAAUUGAAGGAGAAGACAGAGAUGAAGGCCCUGGCCUGGUACUCGGUAGGGAACAGGACCCAGUGGAUGUUAGAUGCCUCCUCUGUCUUGCUGAGACUGGGCAUUUCUCUGAGUACAGAGCCUGGGAGACAGGGCAAGUGGGAGAUGGGGUAUGAGAGGCCCUCAGUGGGGAAUACUGGUCAUUUUGGAAACAGGAAUAUUCCAUAGCUGCGUGAAAAUGCAGCUUUUUUUUUGCUUAAUCAUCAGAACCCACAAUCCUAAGUUAAUCCUGCAUUACAGAAUUCUGCCAGACUUCAUAUCCAAAAACCCCUGGUGCUCUAUCUCUUUCUCUUCCCUUCACCCCAUACAAUCCUGCGGGAUCGGGAAAUGCUCAUGUCAUGGGGUAGAGAAACCGGAGGUUUGCCAAGCCCUUGAGGCUCCUAGAUCAACGAUGCCUAAAGUCACUAACUUCCCUGAGGUUGCAGAAUGAAUGUCUUUUUUCUUCCCCACUGGAAAAGCCAUAGACAACCAUUAAAGAAAACUUGAAAAAUACAGGGAAGUUGAUGGAUGUGUGGCCAGUUGGUGCUGUCUGUCUUCUUGGUGACCAGGAGUAAUUUGGACCAUCUGGGAAACCAGACCUCUUUUCACCCAGGCUGUUUCGUGUGCAUCACUUCUGAGGCUGUGUGCUCAGUCAAGACCUUGCCAGAGAGUUGGGGGAUUAGCCUUAGGUCGAGAAUAUUCUGAGCAGUAGUAAGAAAUUUAAAAAUCAUCCAUAAUUUCAUCACUCUUAUUUUAAGAGAUUAGUUUAUUUCCUUCUAAACCUUCCUCUAAGUUAGUGUAUGUGUGUUUAUAGCUGCAUACAAUUUUGUAUGAUGCUUUUUUUCCUAUAAUAUUAUAUCCUAAGGAGCACUUGAAGUCGAAUGACUUUAGUAAAUCAUUGAUGAGAACAUUUUGAGUGUCUUUCCAUUGCACUCCCAACUAGCCUUCUCCACCUCUUCACUUUAAAAGCAACAACUAGUUGAAACGUGACGCUAUCCAAGUCUUUCCGGAGAAAAUAGUUUCUGGAGUGAGAUCAUUGUUGUUUGACAAUUUGGGAAGGACUUAAACUGAGUCCAGCUCCAGGCAGGACUUGAUAACAUGUUCAUGCAGUGGCUUCUUUCACAGCGUUAUAGCACCAGCCCUUCCUUGUCUCUCAAACCUUACAGCUCAGGAGGGGCUGUGAAUGGAUGGGUAAGGAAUUCCAGUCCCUGGGUCCUUGGCACCUGUGGUCAGCAUGGGGCUCCCACUCCAGAAUUGCGUGCGGUGGUUUUGAGCUCUUGGGUCACGGCUACAUCUGGAGUUGUUGUGGCAGAGAAGCCUGGUUCCCAGCCACCACUCUGCUCUUGAAGGUGCUGACUCAGAGACUCCCAAGCAGCUGACUUCAGCAUUCUCUCACAGCUUUACACCCCCUCUUCCCUGCAGCCUGUCUUGGAAGGAAAUCGUGUGGUUGUGGUCUGUCUUCAGAGUGGGGUUGAGGGGUGCACUUGAAGAAGUGGCUGAGGCAGAGCCAGGGCCAGAAUAGGUAGGGUCACCCCAGAGAAACUCCUUCCACUUCACUGGACUCUCUAUCAGUAGGAGGCUUACAGUCCUUGUCCCUGCCAAGACAGGGCUAGGGGCAAAGCGCAAGACAUUACAGGUUUGCAAUAUGUUAUCCAUCAUCAAAAUGAGCAGUGAACAAAUCCGACUAAGGUCUGGAAGCAAUUGAACAACUCUGUUAUUACUUUUGUGACACAUUGUCAUGGGAAUGUGUGUGAGCUUGGGGCUCUUGUGUCUCUCUGCGGUUUCUAGAGGCAGCUUGACUUAGAGAAUGGUUCUGUCCACAGACUGUUUCUGUGUGUGCGAGGGGAGCUUCCUGGGGCCAUCAUGAGGAUUUCUUUUCUUUUGAGUCUUGUAAAGUAUUGACCCAUAGAAUAUGAGAAGCAGGACAUGUUCUGUUCAGUUGUUUUUCAUGUAAUAAAAGAUUCUUGCUCAAA
Molecule: long non-coding RNA, 4612 nt
Organism: Homo sapiens (human)
Lineage: Eukaryota; Metazoa; Chordata; Mammalia; Primates; Hominidae
Exons: 2
Source: RefSeq, a predicted model, not a curated record